This 772-nucleotide ribosomal RNA is filed under the name uncultured bacterium. RNAcentral's name for it is "bacterial SSU rRNA". It matches the Rfam family "Bacterial small subunit ribosomal RNA", at positions 8 to 796 of the family's 1533-position model. The record is from RNAcentral.
AGAGUUUGAUCAUGGCUCAGGACGAACGCUGGCGGCGUGCUUAACACAUGCAAGUCGAACGAUGAACCACUUCGGUGGGGAUUAGUGGCGAACGGGUGAGUAACACGUGGGCAAUCUGCCCUUCACUCUGGGACAAGCCCUGGAAACGGGGUCUAAUACCGGAUAAUACUUCCACUCGCAUGGGUGGGGGUUGAAAGCUCCGGCGGUGAAGGAUGAGCCCGCGGCCUAUCAGCUUGUUGGUGAGGUAGUGGCUCACCAAGGCGACGACGGGUAGCCGGCCUGAGAGGGCGACCGGCCACACUGGGACUGAGACACGGCCCAGACUCCUACGGGAGGCAGCAGUGGGGAAUAUUGCACAAUGGGCGAAAGCCUGAUGCAGCGACGCCGCGUGAGGGAUGACGGCCUUCGGGUUGUAAACCUCUUUCAGCAGGGAAGAAGCGAAAGUGACGGUACCUGCAGAAGAAGCGCCGGCUAACUACGUGCCAGCAGCCGCGGUAAUACGUAGGGCGCAAGCGUUGUCCGGAAUUAUUGGGCGUAAAGAGCUCGUAGGCGGUCUGUCGCGUCGGAUGUGAAAGCCCGGGGCUUAACCCCCGGGUCUGCAUUCGAUACGGGCAGACUAGAGUGUGGUAGGGGAGAUCGGAAUUCCUGGUGUAGCGGUGAAAUGCGCAGAUAUCAGGAGGAACACCGGUGGCGAAGGCGGAUCUCUGGGCCAUUACUGACGCUGAGGAGCGAAAGCGUGGGGAGCGAACAGGAUUAGAUACCCUAGUAGUCC